CUGCUAUCGGAUUGAUACUAAGCCAUGCGAGUCUUUGUAGUAAUACAAGGCAGACGGCUCAGUAACACGUAGUCAACCUACCCUAUGGACGAGAAUAAUCUCGGGAAACUGAGCAUAAUUCUCGGUAGAUCAUAAUGCCUGGAAUGGUUUAUGGUUAAAAUGAUUCUUCGCCAUAGGAUGGGACUGCGGCCUAUCAGCUUGUUGGUGAGGUAAUGGCCCACCAAGGCGAUUACAGGUGCGGGCUCUGAGAGGAGAAGCCCGGAGAUGGGUACUGAGACACGGACCCAGGCCCUAUGGGGCGCAGCAGGCGAGAAAACUUUGCAAUGUGCGAAAGCACGACAAGGUUAAUCCGAGUGAUUUCUGCUAAAGAAAUCUUUUGCCAGUCGUAAAACCGCUGGUGAAUAAGGGGUGGGCAAGUUCUGGUGUCAGCCGCCGCGGUAAAACCAGCACCUCAAGUGGUCAGGGUGAUUAUUGGGCCUAAAGCAUCCGUAGCCGGCUUUGUAAGUUUUCGGUUAAAUCCAUGUGCUCAACGCAUGGGCUGCCGAAAAUACUGCAUAGCUAGGGAGUGGGAGAGGUAGACGGUACUCAGUAGGUAGGGGUAAAAUCCUUUGAUCUAUUGAUGACCACCUGUGGCGAAGGCGGUCUACCAGAACACGUUCGACGGUGAGGGAUGAAAGCUGGGGGAGCAAACCGGAUUAGAUACCCGGGUAGUCCCAGCUGUAAACGAUGCAGACUAGAUGAUGCAUUGGCAUAAUAGCCAUUGCAGUGUCUCAGGGAAGCCGUUAAGUCUGCCGCCUGGGAAGUACGUACGCAAGUAUGAAACUUAAAGGAAUUGGCGGGG
This 841-nucleotide ribosomal RNA is filed under the name uncultured marine group I thaumarchaeote. Its description in RNAcentral is "SSU rRNA". It matches the Rfam family "Archaeal small subunit ribosomal RNA", at positions 27 to 873 of the family's 1478-position model. Lineage: Archaea; Thermoproteati; Nitrososphaerota. The record is from RNAcentral.